RNAcentral lists this transfer RNA (65 nucleotides) under Oocatochus rufodorsatus (frog-eating rat snake). RNAcentral describes it as "tRNA-Thr". It matches the Rfam family "tRNA". From Rfam's summary of the family: Transfer RNA (tRNA) molecules are approximately 80 nucleotides in length. Lineage: Eukaryota; Metazoa; Chordata; Lepidosauria; Squamata; Colubridae. The record is from RNAcentral.
GCUCUAGUAGCUUAAAUAUUUAAAGCAUUGCCCUUGUAAGCCAAAGCUGGAUCACCCCUAGAGCA